CCCUCUUGGUGGAAACUAAAAUUCUGCAACACAAACUACCUGUGCACUAUUUGCAGCAUAGGGACAAUUAACAAAUUCAAUAAUUUUGAUUUACGAAGGAUGUCUUUCACGUUUGAAAGCAUUAUGUAAAUUUAUCGACUGCAUUAAAAAAUAUAACAAUUUGGUUGACUACACUGUAUUUAAUGAUAGUGCAGUUUAAUCAUUGAGAAAGCCCGGUCAGUUUGUUUACCACUGUAUAACUAACAGUUUAAAAGCCCUUAAAAAAAGACAACUUAAUGAAACUAGAUACUUAAAUUACUAAAAGCUGUAAGGGAAUUGAAGUUUCAACUGUCUUUGUGCUUCAAUU
Molecule: non-coding RNA, 346 nt
Organism: Schizosaccharomyces pombe (fission yeast)
Lineage: Eukaryota; Fungi; Ascomycota; Schizosaccharomycetes; Schizosaccharomycetales; Schizosaccharomycetaceae
Source: the annotation of a GenBank genome assembly